Molecule: long non-coding RNA, 664 nt
Filed under: Brassica napus (rape)
Lineage: Eukaryota; Viridiplantae; Streptophyta; Magnoliopsida; Brassicales; Brassicaceae
Description: long non-coding RNA (BNAP_LNC007406)
Source: RNAcentral
UUUGAAAUAGCCAAAAUGUUAGAACAUCUGGACAAAUCCUGAUUAAACGAACUUUGAUUGAUAUAUGUUUUUUGUCCCAUGAUAUACUUGAUUAAUAUUGAAGCUGAAUCUGCUUAAUAGAUGGGUGCAUCUCUUUCCAUUUGCCUCCGUUGAUAGCUAUGUUGAUAGCUUUGGGACAAGUCUCGACUUCUGAUUCUAUGCGCUACCUACUGGUAUCUGCGCUUGUUGUUACUAUUAUUAUUUUUUUUAAUGUCUUUUCAUAUUUUUCGGUUUUACUUGGAACCAAUGGUGAGAUCUUUGUAUAUCCAGAAACUCAUGGAUAAAGGUUACUUCAGUGUUAAAAAAAAGAUAUACUUGAUUUGUAGUCACUGAUGAAAUUUACCUAAUUUGUAUUUGAAAUAUGGCUAGUUGGCAAAUAAGCCCAUAUAAGUUCUCAAUAAUUUGGUGAGUUAACUCUUUGUUAAGUUUUGCUUCUCUUCUGUCAUGUUGAACAUUUUUUGGUCUCCCCCAUUAAACAAUAUAACGCUACGAGAAUUGAAACAUGAGGAAGAAAUAUACGUACCACGAGGUCCACGAAUACAACUAUACAAGAUUCCUCUACCCUUAUAUUGUAAGCGAAAGGUCUCUUAAUCUACACUAGCCUAGCUUUUUAUUUGACUAGAUC